RNAcentral lists this ribosomal RNA (492 nucleotides) under uncultured bacterium. RNAcentral's name for it is "partial 16S ribosomal RNA". It matches the Rfam family "Bacterial small subunit ribosomal RNA", at positions 29 to 507 of the family's 1533-position model. The record is from RNAcentral.
AGUGAACGCUGGCGGUAGGCCUAACACAUGCAAGUCGAAUGGCAGCACAGUAAGAGCUUGCUCUUACGGGUGGCGAGUGGCGGACGGGUGAGGAAUACAUCGGAAUCUACUUUUUCGUGGGGGAUAACGUAGGGAAACUUACGCUAAUACCGCAUACGACCUACGGGUGAAAGCAGGGGAUCUUCGGACCUUGCGCGAUUGAAUGAGCCGAUGUCGGAUUAGCUAGUUGGCGGGGUAAAGGCCCACCAAGGCGACGAUCCGUAGCUGGGCUGAGAGGAUGAUCAGCCAAACUGGAACUGAGACACGGGCCAGACUCCUACGGGAGGCAGCAGUGGGGAAUAUUGGACAAUGGGCGCAAGCCUGAUCCAGCCAUACCGCGUGGGUGAAGAAGGCCUUCGGGUUGUAAAGCCCUUUUGUUGGGAAAGAAAAGCAGCAGGUUAAUACCCCGCUGUUCUGACGGUACCCAAAGAAUAAGCACCGGCUAACUUCGUG